ACAAGGCUUGCCUGGGCUCCAGGAAGCUCGUUCUUGGCAUUCCAUGUGGAAGGACUGUCAUUCCUCAUCCCAUACCUGUGGUUUUCUUUGAAGCACAGCAGGAAAGCAGGGUUGCCCCAGUCUGCCAGAUGAUGGGCCAGUGACAAGGCUGUGCCUGUAGAAAAGAGAAACCACUAAGCAAAGUUCGGCCUCUAGACAGAGAAAAAAAGCAAAGAGGAAUUGAUGGAGACCUGGUGUCUUGCUGAGGAGAACAAAAUGGUGAUUCUGUCAUCACAAAUGGGAAAAACUAUGUUACACUGGAGGCUUUUACUGCUUCCCCAAAACCAGCAUGAGAAAAACAGACCAAGACUAUCUGAUGGAACAUCAGUGAGGAGUUACAACAGAGAAAAAGUCUCAGGGUCUUCAGAGAGACCAUACACCCUUUGGUGAAUUACCUGCCUGCUCCCUUCUAGGCUGCUAAAAAGUCAGUAAAAAAGAGACUCUACAGUCUGUGCAGAGUGUGGCUUUCUGUGUUUGAGAUGAUGACAAAUUGCUUGCUAAACACCAGACCCAGACUACAAUAAAGGCUUUGCUUUUUCAGAGGGACAGUUGCUCAAUAUCUUCAGCUUUAGAAAGCAUUUUUCUCCCCAUUAUAGCACUAAUUUUUCACUGGUUCUUCUGCCCAUUAAAGUUGUCAAAAUGCUAUAUGCCAUUUUUCCUAAAUGAAACCAGAGUUGACGCUCUGUUUGUCCUGCCCUGCUGUCUUCCAGGCUGGAGCCCAGAUCAACAAAGGUCCUUCAGCUACU
Molecule: non-coding RNA, 785 nt
Organism: Agelaius phoeniceus (red-winged blackbird)
Lineage: Eukaryota; Metazoa; Chordata; Aves; Passeriformes; Icteridae
Source: RefSeq, a predicted model, not a curated record